This 2490-nucleotide long non-coding RNA is filed under the name Taeniopygia guttata (zebra finch). RNAcentral's name for it is "lncRNA (ENSTGUG00000018945.1)". Lineage: Eukaryota; Metazoa; Chordata; Aves; Passeriformes; Estrildidae. The record is from RNAcentral.
GUGCUGUGGAAACCCACAACUUCCAGUGCAAGCACAAGGUGAGAUGGCAAAUGUGUAUCAAACCCACGAAACAGAAUAGAUGUUCUUUGUGUAAACUGCAUAGAUACAUAUUUAGGUAUAGAUGAAUCUAUUUCAUUGCAUCUAUAUUCCCUAGAGUUUUAUUAUACUUUUUGCAAUCUCUUUUUAAAAUUAUUAAAUAGAUACAGUAAAUUAAAUCUUGAAUGAAUGUAUUAGGUCUGAGGCUAGUCAGAGGAAAGUAUUGCUUUCUAAAGCAGAUAAUGGUAUAAUUUGCUUUCCUUCCCCUAACACUUUUGUACUUUCCAUAUUUAAACCAUACUGGUAGCUCCCAGAACAUGAUACUGGAAAGUAAGACCUGGAACAUCUGCAACAAGUAUUAAUUCAUUCAACCAACCAAAAAGGAAGGGGGAUACAGGGAAAUAUCCUAAAAUGAAAAAAUGAGGAGAAUCAGGACAUGAGAAGUCUCAGCAUGGUGUUAAAAUGGACAUCACUGUUAUAUUAAAGCUCUAUAGGGACAUGAAUUGCAGACUGUUGAAGAUGGGAUACCAAUAAAUUCCUUUUAUCCACCACUGUAAUGGACUAAAAUAAAGUGUUUGCAGAGAAGCAAGCCAGUUAAGCCUGGGGUCUGCAUAUGUGGAUCAGCAUAUUCGACAAGCAGCAAUCCUAAUUUAUUCCAUCUGGUUUUAGGCAAUGUAUAACAUACCAGGACAGUCCUGUCUUUCCCUGGCCCUGCCUUUGGGGUCUAUAUGCUGUUUAUGGGAUGAUCUAAAAAGAAACCUCCCUCUGCUGCAGCUCUGAACUUGGAAACUGUCCCUCAUGGAGGGAAGAGGUAAAUCAGUAGGGUUUUCUGCCUUACACAUAGGUUUUAACUCAAAUGCAAAUAUAAUCCUGCCAAAGACUGAUUUAAUUUUUCAUCCUCCUUUCCCCCACUUUUGGAUCUCAGUGUCAAAUGAACAUCUGAUCUACAGUCAUCACAUCUGAACAGCAAUCAACAUAUGUUGCAAGGGGUCAACCAAGGGUUGUGCAGCUCCAGCCCCCUGCAUGCAGAUUCCUGUUCUGCAUGUUUCCAGCACAGCACAACACACAGCACAGCCUGGCUCUUCUUUGCUUCCUGGAACCAAAGCCCUAGAAGACAAAUGCCGAAGAUGUAGCUUGUGCUAUCUCUGCAGUCUAGAACCUUCCCCAUUGGGGUGGUCAGGCUUACUAAAGCCAAAGUCUGAAUAUUCCAAAUUCCAAUAUCAUCCUCCUGUAUAACAUUUUUUCCAAAAUGCCUCUUAUUUCUUCUGUAGAAGAACGUGAACCCUGCAUCUCUGCCAAACAAUAGCAUCUCUUCCUUCCUUGCGCAUCAUCUUUUCCCUUUUGUUGCUAUUCCAGACUCAGCAGUUCCGGAAUCCAUCAUAUUUGUUAAUCUCUAACACCAUUGUGCAGUCUUCCACAUGUACUCCUUCCUGACUGGUUACCUGCUUGACAAAGACUGUCUUGUAUGCCACAUUCCUCCUCAGCUUGGGGUAGGGAGUUGCCAUAGGAGAUUGAUGCCAUGUCAUGAUUGGAUAGGUACAUGUUUUCUCUUUGAAGGAUUUGGGGGUCUUUCAUCCCUUUGAUUUUUCCCAUCAUCUUCAGAUUUUCAGUUGUGCCAAACAGCCAUGUGGGGAUCCUACACACCACAUGCUUCCCAUGGUGCAUUUAAUUUCUGUACAUUUCAUUUCCUGUGCAUAGUAGGCUCUUGGUUAUUGCCAGUUCAUUAUGCCUGCAGACAUGCUCUGACAGCAGAAGCAACUUUGGCUACUGGUGGUAUGUUUGACUAAUAAAAACAUGGUACAAAAAGCUUGAGUUUUAAGAGCACACAGGCGAAGGCUUCAGUGCUAAAGAUCAACUCUUUCCAUUUUCAGCAAGGCUUUUGCUGUGUGACUGGAAAAUGCGUUAUGCAAGAUGAAUCACAUGCCAAGACAUAAUUUUGUUAGUCACUCAUACUAACCAGAAAACAGGUUAGGGUGAUGAGAACAGGAUCCGCUUUGUAAGGUCCAGUAAAGACUGGGAACGGCUGAAAACAGCACUAAGCAGCAAUUUAUAGCCAAAGUCAGUGUCUUUAAGUGGCUGUGAGAGGGAAACAAGCUGCCUAUCUUGAUGCAAAUGGGCUGUUCUUCCCAAUUAGGUGCUUUUGUUAGAGCAUCACAUUACAGUAUGCUACUAUUCCAGCCUUAAGGGCAUGAAGAUAGUAUGAUGUGGCCAAUUUGGCUGACAAAGUAUUAGGAGGCUGCCAAUUUCAUAUUAAUGCAUUUACAAAGAAACAAAAGGUUGAAUGAUCUCAAAUUCAUGAUUUUUUUUUGUUUGUUUGCUUUGUUUGUUUGCUUGCUUUUUUCUUUUUCUUAUCAGAUCUUCAAGAAUCAAGGCACUGGUUCUUACUUCCUGCCGCUCCUCCUGCUGCUGCUGCUGUUGUUGUUUUAUUAAAAGCUAAAUAUAACUUUAGGUCAC